Molecule: unclassified non-coding RNA, 213 nt
Filed under: uncultured Agaricomycetes
Lineage: Eukaryota; Fungi; Basidiomycota; Agaricomycetes
Description: sequence contains ITS2
Source: RNAcentral
UUCAAUCUCAAUGCAAUGGAAGUGUCUGCUCGGCGUUUCCUUGUAUUGGCAGUGAAGGUUGCUGGGUACCACCAGCUUCUUUGAAAUGCAUUAGCAGAAAAUAAGCAGAGUCGGCUUCGGUUUGAUAUGAUCUAUGCUGUUGCCGACGGAGCUUUUUAUGUUCUGCUGACUUGUCUUUGUAUGGGACUGUCCACCCUGUGGACAUUUUAUCAA